Molecule: ribosomal RNA, 435 nt
Filed under: Pseudomonas viridiflava
Lineage: Bacteria; Pseudomonadati; Pseudomonadota; Gammaproteobacteria; Pseudomonadales; Pseudomonadaceae
Description: bacterial SSU rRNA
Rfam family: Bacterial small subunit ribosomal RNA
Source: RNAcentral
CUUGCUUCUCUUGAGUGCGGCGGACGGGUGAGUAAUGCCUAGGAAUCUGCCUGGUAGUGGGGGAUAACGCUCGGAAACGGACCUAAUACCGCAUACGUCCUACGGGAGAAAGCAGGGGACCUUCGGGCCUUGCGCUAUCAGAUGAGCCUAGGUCGGAUUAGCCUAGUUGGGUGAGGUAAUGGCUCACCCAAGGCGACGCAUCCGUAACUGGUCUGAGAGGAUGAUCAGUUCACACUGGAACUGAGACACGGUCCAGACUCCUACGGGAGGCAGCAGUGGGGAAUAUUGGACAUGGGCGAAAGCCUGAUCCAGCCAUGCCGCGUGUGUGAAGAAGGUCUUCGGAUUGUAAAGCACUUUAAGUUGGGAGGAAGGGCAGUAACCUAAUACGUUAUUGUUUUGACGUUACCGACAGAAUAAGCACCGGCUAACUCUGUG